GUGGGCAUAGCUCAGUGGUGGAGCACAUGCUUAGUAUGCAUGAGGUCCCAAGUUCAUCCCUAGUACCUUCA
RNAcentral lists this transfer RNA (71 nucleotides) under Camelus bactrianus (Bactrian camel). It matches the Rfam family "tRNA". Rfam says of the family: Transfer RNA (tRNA) molecules are approximately 80 nucleotides in length. The record is from Rfam by way of RNAcentral. Lineage: Eukaryota; Metazoa; Chordata; Mammalia; Artiodactyla; Camelidae. RNAcentral also lists the same sequence under 3 other names.